ACAAGCGGAGGAGCAUGUGGUUAAUUCGAUGAUACGCGAGGAACCUUACCUGGGCUCGAACGUAAGAUGACUGUAGGUGAAAGCUUACAUCUCUUCGGAGCAUUUUACGAGGUGCUGCAUGGUUGUCGCCAGCUCGUGCCGUGAGGUGUCGGGUUAAGUCCCAUAACGAGCGCAACCCCUACCUUUAGUUGCCAUCAGGUAAUGCUGGGGACUCUAAAGGAACUGCCUACGCAAGUAGUGAGGAAGGCGGGGAUGACGUCAAAUCAGCACGGCCCUUACGUCCAGGGCUACACACGUGCUACAAUGGCCGAUACAGAGGGCAGCUACCUGGUGACAGGAUGCAAAUCUCCAAAGUCGGUCUCAGUUCGGAUCGGAGUCUGCAACCCGACUCCGUGAAGUUGGAUUCGCUAGUAAUCGCGCAUCAGCCAUGGCGCGGUGAAUACGUUCCCGGGCCUU
This 456-nucleotide ribosomal RNA is filed under the name uncultured Sphingobacteriales bacterium. Its description in RNAcentral is "bacterial SSU rRNA". It matches the Rfam family "Bacterial small subunit ribosomal RNA", at positions 925 to 1382 of the family's 1533-position model. The record is from RNAcentral. Lineage: Bacteria; Pseudomonadati; Bacteroidota; Sphingobacteriia; Sphingobacteriales.